Molecule: ribosomal RNA, 253 nt
Filed under: uncultured bacterium
Lineage: Bacteria
Description: partial 16S ribosomal RNA
Rfam family: Bacterial small subunit ribosomal RNA
Source: RNAcentral
UACGUAGGCAGCAAGCGUUGUUCGGAAUUACUGGGCGUAAAGAGUGUGUAGGCGGUGCUCUAAGUCUGUUGUGAAAUCUCCCGGCUUAACCGGGAGGGUGCGGCGGAAACUGGAGUGCUUGAGGGUGGGAGAGGUAAGCGGAAUUCCUGGUGUAGCGGUGAAAUGCGUAGAUAUCAGGAGGAACACCUGUGGUGUAGACAGCUUACUGGGCCACUUCUGACGCUGAGACACGAAAGCGUGGGUAGCAAACAGG